RNAcentral lists this long non-coding RNA (229 nucleotides) under Mytilus galloprovincialis (Mediterranean mussel). Lineage: Eukaryota; Metazoa; Mollusca; Bivalvia; Mytilida; Mytilidae. The record is from RNAcentral.
CAUAGAUUCUGGUACUGAGAUGACUGUGUAAGUCAAAUUCGAGAUAUAAGUCUAAAUUAUCAAACUUGUAGAAAAACAUGAUUCCAAGGUUGGAGAUGAAUAUGUUAAACCAUCCGAGUUUACACUGGCAUCAGGCAGCUUUCAUUGUUCUGGAAGUGUUCAACAACUAUUUAUAUUGUUAUCGUAUUUGUUUUGUGGUUCGCUAUUGUACAUAGUUUUUUGGGUUUUU